RNAcentral lists this ribosomal RNA (253 nucleotides) under uncultured bacterium. Its description in RNAcentral is "partial 16S ribosomal RNA". It matches the Rfam family "Bacterial small subunit ribosomal RNA", at positions 524 to 777 of the family's 1533-position model. The record is from RNAcentral.
GACAGAGGUGCCAAGCGUUAGGCGGAAUCACUGGGCUUAAAGCGUGUGUAGGUGGAUUUGUAAGUACCUUGUGAAAUCCCAUGGCUCAACCAUGGAACUGCUCGGUAUACUGCUUUUCUUGAGCCACUUAGGGGCUGUCGGAACAAACGGUGGAGCGGUGAAAUGCGUAGAUAUCGUUUGGAACGCCAACGGUGAAAACAGACAGCUGGGAGUGUGCUGACGUGAGACACGAAAGCCAGGGGAGCGAACGGGA